RNAcentral lists this transfer RNA (69 nucleotides) under Chelonoidis denticulatus (yellow-footed tortoise). RNAcentral describes it as "tRNA-Val". Lineage: Eukaryota; Metazoa; Chordata; Testudines; Testudinidae. The record is from RNAcentral.
CAAAAUAUAGCUUAACCAAAAGCAUUCAGCUUACACCUGAAAAAUGUCCCUUAAGUGAGACUAUUUUGA